GACGAACGCUGGCGGCGUGCUUAACACAUGCCAGUCGAACGGAAAGGCCCUGCUUUUGUGGGGUGCUCGAGUGGCGAACGGGUGAGUAACACGUGAGUAACCUGCCCUUGACUUUGGGAUAACUUCAGGAAACUGGGGCUAAUACCGGAUAGGAGCUCCUGCUGCAUGGUGGGGGUUGGAAAGUUUCGGCGGUUGGGGAUGGACUCGCGGCUUAUCAGCUUGUUGGUGGGGUAGUGGCUUACCAAGGCUUUGACGGGUAGCCGGCCUGAGAGGGUGACCGGCCACCUUGGGACUGAGAUACGGCCCAGACUCCUACGGGAGGCAGCAGUGGGGAAUAUUGCACAAUGGGCGGAAGCCUGAUGCAGCAACGCCGCGUGCGGGAUGACGGCCUUCGGGUUGUAAACCGCUUUCGCCUGUGACGAAGCGUGAGUGACGGUAAUGGGUAAAGAAGCACCGGCUAACUACGUG
This 468-nucleotide ribosomal RNA is filed under the name uncultured bacterium. RNAcentral describes it as "partial 16S ribosomal RNA". It matches the Rfam family "Bacterial small subunit ribosomal RNA", at positions 28 to 507 of the family's 1533-position model. The record is from RNAcentral.